Molecule: ribosomal RNA, 349 nt
Filed under: uncultured bacterium
Lineage: Bacteria
Description: bacterial SSU rRNA
Rfam family: Bacterial small subunit ribosomal RNA
Source: RNAcentral
CAGGCCCGCAAGGGUGCUGACGAGUGGCGGACGGGUGAGGAAUACAUCGGAAUCUGCCCGGUUGUGGGGGAUAACGUAGGGAAACUUACGCUAAUACCGCAUACGACCGAAAGGUGAAAGCGUGGGAUCCGCAAGGACCUCGCGCAGCCGGAUGAGCCGAUGUCGGAUUAGCUAGUUGGCGGGGUAAAGGCCCACCAAGGCGACGAUCCGUAGCUGGUCUGAGAGGAUGAUCAGCCACACUGGGACUGAGACACGGCCCAGGCUCCUACGGGAGGCAGCAGUGGGGAAUAUUGGACAAUGGGGGCAACCCUGAUCCAGCAAUGCCGCGUGUGUGAAGAAGGCCUUCGGG